GCAUGUUGUUAGGUUUAGCUGAGUUUACCCCGGCACGAAAGGAAAGGCCGGAAAUGAAGCCCCACCUUGUUGGGAUUUCGUCUUUGUUUCUAUGGAAGUUCUUUGGAGUUUGGAAUCUCUCUGUUUUAUUUGCAUGAAGCGGGCAAUUGUGCUUAGAAGAGGGUUUUUGUCGUUGAUGGGUUCCCUGUAAAUUGCUUUGUUUCUUGCUUCUUUUAUCCUUUCCGCGUGCGAUAUCAGAAUGUUAAACUCUCGUCUCUGUAUAGAGGUGUGCUGCUUCAUUUUCUCGACUGGCCUAAUGCUUCUUCGUUCAUGGCUUUUGGGUUUUGCCUAGUAGCUUUGAGUGGGCUUUCUGAGAGGUAGAUUGAAUGCGGCAAUUUAGAUGGAUGGUCUUGAACUGGAUAUCAAGGAGAAUGCAGAAUGUUUUGCUGGUCUUUUAGAACAAGAAGGUAAGGGAGGUGGGGAUUCUGAAAAAGGACCAUGAAACCUUGAAGGAGCAGAUUGAGAAGCUGGAGAUGAUGAUGAGGAUUGGGUAGGCUUUCCUUGGCUGCGGCAUCAGCAGAUCAGUCAGCUGCAAGUGUGUGGUCCAAGCAAGAAUAAAGGAGAUCACUGCUAAGGUGCUGGACUAUCAUUUGCAACAGUGGCAGUGUUUGGUUGGACCUUUGGACAGGAAUCCACCAUUUGUUUCAACUCUACCGAUUAGAUACCAUGGCUACGCAUGUCAACUUCUUGGAGUGGUUGACCAACGUUUUCUUUACGAUGGCUAAAGCUCCGACAUCACGAAAACAAGAAAAGACCGCGAUUACUUUAGACGAACCGUGUCCAUUGGUCCAACAAUCAAUACACGUCCGAAGACCUUGACUUGUUGACUUCCGGAGCGCGCGCCCGACAAAGACCUUGACUUCUGGAAUUUAUUUAACUUCCAUAGGUAAGCUGGUUCAAGUUCUAUUAAAAAAUUCAUUA
Eucalyptus grandis is the source of this 960-nucleotide long non-coding RNA. RefSeq lists it as uncharacterized. NCBI's taxonomy places the organism in Eukaryota, Viridiplantae, Streptophyta, Magnoliopsida, Myrtales, Myrtaceae. The record is from RefSeq and is a predicted model, not a curated record. The transcript has 5 exons.